Molecule: ribosomal RNA, 229 nt
Filed under: uncultured bacterium
Lineage: Bacteria
Description: partial 16S ribosomal RNA
Rfam family: Bacterial small subunit ribosomal RNA
Source: RNAcentral
UCCGUAGGCGGGUAAUUAAGUCAGAGGUGAAAUCCCACAGCUUAACUGUGGAACUGCCUUAGAUACUGGUUAUCUUGAGUUUUAGUGAAGUAGAUAGAAUGUGUAGUGUAGCGGUGAAAUGCAUAGAUAUUACACAGAAUACCGAUUGCGAAGGCAGUCUACUAACUAACAACUGACGCUAAUGGACGAAAGCGUGGGGAGCUAACAGGAUUAGAUACCCUGGUAGUCC